GAUUUCUGGUUUGAUGUGCCUGUCCCAUCACGGUAACGUGUGUGAGUGACGGUGUAGAUCUGCCAUCCUUCUAGAUUCGGCAGACUACUCUUUACUGAGCUGGUCUGUCUGUUCUAGAUCUUUUACUUUGAAAAAAUUAGAGUGUUUCAAGCAGGCUUUUGCUAUGAAUACAUUAGCAUGGAAUAAUGAGUUAGGACUUCGGUUCUAUUUUGUUGGUUUCUAGGACUGUAGUAAUGAUUGAUAGGGACAGUUGGGGGUGCUAGUAUUCAGUGCGAAGAGGUGAAAUUCUUGGAUCCACUGAAGACUAACUUAUGCGAAAGCAUU
RNAcentral lists this ribosomal RNA (324 nucleotides) under Allapsidae sp. RNAcentral's name for it is "SSU rRNA". The stretch from base 114 to 324 matches the Rfam family "Eukaryotic small subunit ribosomal RNA", at positions 743 to 955 of the family's 1831-position model. The record is from RNAcentral. Lineage: Eukaryota; Cercozoa; Glissomonadida; Viridiraptoridae.